GAUGAACGCUGGCGGCGUGCCUAAUACAUGCAAGUCGAGCGAACGGACGAGAAGCUUGCUUCUCUGAUGUUAGCGGCGGACGGGUGAGUAACACGUGGAUAACCUACCUAUAAGACUGGGAUAACUUCGGGAAACCGGAGCUAAUACCGGAUAAUAUUUUGAACCGCAUGGUUCAAAAGUGAAAGACGGUCUUGCUGUCACUUAUAGAUGGAUCCGCGCUGCAUUAGCUAGUUGGUAAGGUAACGGCUUACCAAGGCAACGAUGCAUAGCCGACCUGAGAGGGUGAUCGGCCACACUGGAACUGAGACACGGUCCAGACUCCUACGGGAGGCAGCAGUAGGGAAUCUUCCGCAAUGGGCGAAAGCCUGACGGAGCAACGCCGCGUGAGUGAUGAAGGUCUUCGGAUCGUAAAACUCUGUUAUUAGGGAAGAACAUAUGUGUAAGUAACUGUGCACAUCUUGACGGUACCUAAUCAGAAAGCCACGGCUAACUACGUGCCAGCAGCCGCGGUAAUACGUAGGUGGCAAGCGUUAUCCGGAAUUAUUGGGCGUAAAGCGCGCGUAGGCGGUUUUUUAGUCUGAUGUGAAAGCCCGCGGCUCAACCGUGGAGGGUCAUUGGAAACUGGAAAACUUGAGUGCAGAAGAGGAAAGUGGAAUUCCAUGUGUAGCGGUGAAAUGCGCAGAGAUAUGGAGGAACACCAGUGGCGAAGGCGACUUUCUGGUCUGUAACUGACGCUGAUGUGCGAAAGCGUGGGGAUCAAACAGGAUUAGAUACCCUGGUAGUCCACGCCGUAAACGAUGAGUGCUAAGUGUUAGGGGGUUUCCGCCCCUUAGUGCUGCAGCUAACGCAUUAAGCACUCCGCCUGGGGAGUACGACCGCAAGGUUGAAACUCAAAGGAAUUGACGGGGACCCGCACAAGCGGUGGAGCAUGUGGUUUAAUUCGAAGCAACGCGAAGAACCUUACCAAAUCUUGACAUCCUUUGACAACUCUAGAGAUAGAGCUUUCCCCUUCGGGGGACAAAGUGACAGGUGGUGCAUGGUUGUCGUCAGCUCGUGUCGUGAGAUGUUGGGUUAAGUCCCGCAACGAGCGCAACCCUUAAGCUUAGUUGCCAUCAUUAAGUUGGGCACUCUAAGUUGACUGCCGGUGACAAACCGGAGGAAGGUGGGGAUGACGUCAAAUCAUCAUGCCCCUUAUGAUUUGGGCUACACACGUGCUACAAUGGACAAUACAAAGGGCAGUCAAACCGUGAGGUCAAGCAAAUCCCAUGAAGUUGUCCUCCAGUUCGGAUUGUAUUCUGGAACUCCACUUACAUAAACCUGGAAUCCCCUGGUAACUCUAAAUCACCAGGCUACCGGUGAAUACGUUUCCCGGGUCU
This 1376-nucleotide ribosomal RNA is filed under the name uncultured bacterium. Its description in RNAcentral is "bacterial SSU rRNA". It matches the Rfam family "Bacterial small subunit ribosomal RNA", at positions 28 to 1381 of the family's 1533-position model. The record is from RNAcentral.